RNAcentral lists this long non-coding RNA (1207 nucleotides) under Canis lupus familiaris (dog). RNAcentral describes it as "lncRNA (ENSCAFG00040024374.1)". Lineage: Eukaryota; Metazoa; Chordata; Mammalia; Carnivora; Canidae. The record is from RNAcentral.
CUGUGGGUGGUCUACCCUCAGCUCAGACAUGCAGGGGGUGAGCGGGAAGCCACAGAGAACUCCUCAGGACCGGAGGUCGGCCUGCACUGGCACAGUGUCCAGGUUGGAGCCAGGCCCCAUCGCAUGGGAGCCGCAGAACUGUGGUCCCAAGGUGGAGCUGAGCUCUGGAGACUCCCUGCAAGGAUGGGAGAUUUAAGGAGAUGAGGGGCUGGUGUGGGGGCUGAGGGCAGGCAGCCCUGAGUGGCCAGCACCACGGCAGCAGCAGCCUCCUUGCUCCUGACAUGGGGGCAGGGGGGUAGGGGGCUCCGUGCUGACCUCCAGGUCUCAUGAACCAUCCUCAGCAAAGGUGCCCAACCUCCUGCCAGCAUCCUGACGUGUCUGGUCAGGGAGGGAGCUCAGUUCAUCACCUCCUGCAUUUAUUCUGCUGGCUCAGUACACAAGCAAGGCCUGAGCUUGUCCAUCGACCUCUGUGUGGCUCCGUGGCUCCAUGGCUCCAUGGUCAGUGGCUCCAUGGCUCCGUGGCUCCAUGGCUCCGUGGUCGGUGGCUCCAUGGCCCGUGGUCAGUGAUCCAUGGCCAGGCACGGCCGAGGGUGUCAGUGGGGCUGUUCUGUCCCAGUGUGGACACCAUUCUGCUCCAGCUCCCACAGCUGAGCAGCAGGGAGGCAAGGAUGCAGGUAGAGGGCUAGGGGUGGGUCCACUCGAUGCAGACCUCAGACCCCUGGUCCCGGACCCCACAGGGGGCUAUCUGGGCCUCAGUCCCCUCUCUCCUCUUCCCUAAUUGUCCCAUCUCCCAGGGCAGGCUGCAGGCCUGGCAGCAGGGGGCCGGGCAGGGGCACGGGGCCCAUGAGCCCCCACACCGUGGACUUCGUACCAGUGGCACCGGCAGCGCGAAAGGGUCCGGCAGGAGAGUGGAGAGCGCUCGGGGCAUCGCCAGGUGCGGGCUCAGCCGGGGCAGCGGGCUCAGGGCUGACACCAGCACCUUCCGCACCAGCACAGACGCCAUGCUGCUGCGGCCCACCCUGCGGAGGGCAGAGCGGCAACAGGUAAGGCCUCCCCGCUCCAUGAGGAGCUUCACCACCCGGGGCCUCCCUUAUCCCCACCCCCACCCCCGGGGAGCCUCCGCUCCACCCUCACCCCUACCCCCACCCCGACUCCGUGAGCCCCCUGCACCACCCUCACCCCUACCCCGUGAGCCCCCUGCUCCACC